Dreissena polymorpha is the source of this 1390-nucleotide long non-coding RNA. RefSeq lists it as uncharacterized. Lineage: Eukaryota; Metazoa; Mollusca; Bivalvia; Myida; Dreissenidae. The record is from RefSeq and is a predicted model, not a curated record. The transcript has 2 exons.
UUGUUUUUAUACGCCCGUCUAUGACGGGACGUAUUAUGGUAUACCCCGCGUCCGUCUGUCCGUCCGUCCGUCUGUCCGUCCGUAUGUCUGUUAAUGUCGUACGCUACGUCAAAUAUCCUUUGACAGAUUUUCUUCAAAUUUUAACACAAUCUUAAUAUUGAUAAACCCUGAUCCCCUUUCGUUUUUGACGGAAUUCUGAAUUGUCGUUCCAGAGUUAUGGGACUUUGUUCGUCAAAAUUUCGUGAUUUCAUUGAAUGUCCUACUGUAGCUAUAUAAAAAUGUUAAAGUUGUUAUAACUUUGGUAUGCUUGGACCUAGAGUCUUGAAACUUGACAUGAAGGUUGGCCAGAACUAGUAAGUAACCACUGGACAUUUCAAGGUCAUUCAUUUGAAGGUCAAGGUCACUGUGACCUUGAAUGUAAAAAUGUUAAAGUUCUUAUUUCAUGUUAUAACUUUGGUAUGCUUGUACCUAGAGUCUUCAAACUUGAAAUAAAGAUUGGCCAGUACUAGAAGAUGACCACUGGUCAUUUCAAUGUCAUUCAUUUGAAGGUCAAGGUCACUGUGACCUUAAAUGUUAAAAUGUUAAAAUUGUUAUAACUUUGGUAUGCUUGGACAUAGAGUCUUCAAACUUGACAUGAAGGUUUGCAAGCACACUUAGAUGACCACUGGUCAUUUCAAGGUCAUUCAUUCUAAGGUCAAGGUCACACAAGGUCACUGUGACCUUAAAUGUUAAAAUGUUAAAAUUGUUAUAACUUUGGUAUGCUUGGACAUAGAGUCUUCAAACUUGACAUGAAGGUUUGCAAGCACACUUAGAUGACCACUGGUCAUUUCAAGGUCAUUCAUUCUAAGGUCAAGGUCACUGUGACCUUAAAUGUUAUUGUUGUUCAUGUAUCCUACCGUAGCUCAAAUAUCCCCCGAUGGAUUUUUUAUACGCCCGUCUAUGACGGGACGUAUUAUGGUAUACCCCGCGUCCGUCUGUCCGUCCGUCCGUCCGUCCGUCCGUCUGUUAAUGUCGUACGCUACGUCAAAUAUCCUUUGACAGAUUUUCUUCAAAUUUUAACACAAUCUUAAUAUUGAUAAACCCUGAUCCCCUUUCGUUUUUGACGGAAUUCUGAAUUGUCGUUCCAGAGUUAUGGGACUUUGUUCGUCAAAAUUUCGUGAUUUCAUUGAAUGUCCUACUGUAGCUCAAAUAUCCUUCGAUGGAUUUUUUUCAAAUUUCAACACAAUCUUAAUAUUGAUAAACCCUGAUCCCCUUUCGUUUUUGACGGAAUUCUGAAUUGUCGUUCCAGAGUUAUGGGACUUUGUUCGUCAAAAUUUCGUGAUUUCCAUGCUCAUGUACUUAUAAAAUAAACCAUGUAUUCAAAUACAAAUAAACUGAAGUAAAAAAAUGA